GAAUGAACGCUGGCGGCGCGCCUAAUACAUGCAAGUCGAGCGAGAAGACGUAGCAAUGCGUUUGUAAAGCGGCGAACGGGUGAGGAAUACAUGGGUAACCUACCCUAGAGUGGGGGAAUAACUAGCCGAAAGGUUAGCUAAUACCGCGUACGCUCCUUGGACUUCGGUUCAGGGAGGGAAAGCGAUGCCGAGGGUAUCGCGCUCUUGGAUGGGCUCAUGUCCUAUCAGCUUGNGGU
This 236-nucleotide ribosomal RNA is filed under the name uncultured bacterium. RNAcentral's name for it is "partial 16S ribosomal RNA". It matches the Rfam family "Bacterial small subunit ribosomal RNA", at positions 27 to 252 of the family's 1533-position model. The record is from RNAcentral.